Molecule: long non-coding RNA, 449 nt
Filed under: Chelonus insularis
Lineage: Eukaryota; Metazoa; Arthropoda; Insecta; Hymenoptera; Braconidae
Description: uncharacterized LOC118070335
Source: RNAcentral
UGAAGAAGAACAGAAAUGUGACGGUUUAUAACCAACAAACUUACAAAUGUGAUGUUUAUUUUUAAAUUUAUUAAGUAAUUAUUUGACAUUAGCAUUUAAAAUGCUAAUUAUAAUGAAAAUUUAUUACAUUUAUUUAAUUAUAUAUAAAAGAGGUUAAGACUUGAAAUUAAAUACUCUGGAUUCCAACAAUCUGCUGAAAAGUGUACUAUUUGUGGUCACCUUAUAAUGGAAAUGAUUCUCCAAGUUAUGGGAAAAUCUUAUCAUCUUGGAUGCUUUAGAUGCUGCAUAUGUAACGAAUGUCUUGACGGAGUUUCUUUUACCGUCAACGUUGAUAAUAAAAUUUAUUGCGUUAAUGAUUAUCACAUAAUGUUUGCACCAAAAUGUGCAUCAAUUGUAAAGGAAUUACUCCAGUUGAGAUCAAUAUAUAAUAAAAAUACAACUUUAUAAAA